RNAcentral lists this small RNA (769 nucleotides) under Oryza sativa Japonica Group (Japanese rice). RNAcentral describes it as "sRNA Os10g0541800". The record is from RNAcentral. Lineage: Eukaryota; Viridiplantae; Streptophyta; Magnoliopsida; Poales; Poaceae.
ACACGCAUCACAGAGGAGCGUUGCAUCACGCCGCUCGUCCUCUCCUCUCCUCUCUCCUCACCAGAUAACAGCAGCGGCGCCGAUGCACAUCGGCGGAAGGGGGCGUCCCCGGCGCGCAUCGGCGACGAGCCAGCGACGGCGGUGCGUCUCCGCAGCGGCGUCCGCGCGCAUCGGCCGCGACAGCGGGCGCACAUAGGCGGUGAGCCGGCGAUGGCCCGACGACAGCAGCCAACAGCCGGCGGCACUUCACCUUCCUGGCUUCCUCAGCCACGGGCCCACGGCGAGCCAGCGGCCGACGACAGCAGCCAGAAAAUCUUGGUUCCCAAAAUCCAAUUGAGUCUCCUCUCUAAUCUUGGAUCUGCAUUCUUAUUUUGCAUUUGAUAGUAAUUAGUCAAUUAGAAAUUGGUUUGAUUUCCUGGAUGAAGAGGUGCUAAACAUUAAUAUCAUUUCUGUCCACCCAACCCCAGAAACAACAGAAACUGAUUGAGUACAUCACAACACUAGAAACAGCCGGAACUGAGGAUAGUAACAAUGGGCAAAAUAAUGUUGUGCUUGCUCCAAAUGUGAUUGUUGUUGACCGGGCUGCUCACACCAAUUGAACAAUUGGAUGUAAACAUUAGGUAGAAGGGAUUAUUUGUUUGUACAGUCCUUAGAGACCAACUUGACACAUUUAUUUGUGACAUGAGAUUUGAUUUGGAUUUCUCAAGCUGCUCUUACCUUGGUAACCUUGUUGUAAAGAUGGUAAAAAGUGAUAGUCACAAGUUUUUCC